Molecule: RNA transcript, 1033 nt
Organism: Pteronotus mesoamericanus
Lineage: Eukaryota; Metazoa; Chordata; Mammalia; Chiroptera; Mormoopidae
Gene: DYDC2
Gene name: DPY30 domain containing 2
Exons: 6
Source: RefSeq, a predicted model, not a curated record
GAGCGCCCUUGGAGUGCGUAGGGGUCACUGCGCAAACAGGAAUCGGCGGAACGGCGGAUGAGAAAACCAAGGCUCGCAGAGACUGGUGACUUGCUGAAGACCACACAUCUAAUAAAUGGAAGAAUAGGACUAGAACUGGAUGGCCGGCAAUCUGAGAAGACGGUGGGUUAUGUACCCCAACAGACCAUCUUACACUCCCUUUCAAGACAGCUUUCUAUAAGGAAAAAAAAGUGUAGAUAAGGGAUUUGGAAUUCAAGUGGAAAAAAAGUGAAGCCCACAAGAUGGAAACUGACUACCUGAAGAGAUGCUUUGGAAAUUGCCUUGCCCAGGCACUGGCAGAGGUGGCGAAGGUUCGGCCCAGUGACCCCAUAGAGUACUUGGCUCACUGGCUUUAUCAUUACAGGAAAAUCACUGAAGCAAAAGAAGAGAAUAGUCAGGAGAAGAUCCAGUUGAAGGAGGAAUAUGAUAAUAGCCUCAAGGAAACCAAAAUGACAGAAAUGCUGAAGCAAGAAGAGUAUCAGAUUCAACAGAAGACCAUAUUCAUGCAGGAGAACACAGUAUUCCUUGAAAAGGAGCCUUUGAAGCAGGAAUGCCUGCCUGGUACCUCUAAUAUGAUUCCAGGGAUGCCUCAACAGAUUCCUUCUUCUGACUCAUCUGGCCAGACUCACUAGCAUGUCAAAACUCCACAAGAAGUAAAUUACUAGGCUUCUCAACGUGAAGUGCUCCUGAAAUGUAUCUUGACUCCAAAUCUCCUUCUUAGUUUAUCCGAAGGUGGGUAAUUAUAAUGAUGCUUCUCUCAAAGAUGCAAGCCAAAAACAUAGUCAUCUAGAAGAGCUCUUACCUAAAGAUGGUAACUGUGUGGAUUAAACCAAGAUUUGAGAGGCUGUGGAAGGAGGUAUCUGUACGGACUAUCCAGCUCAAGUUCUGUUCUGAUAGCCAUGAAAAUUCCUUAAUCAUGUAGAAAUUUGAACUGCUUAUAGAAUAAAAUAAACUCAUAAUAAUGAUUUAAAAUAAGUAACCAAAACUGGUAAAA